This is a long non-coding RNA of Hemicordylus capensis (graceful crag lizard), 383 nucleotides long. RefSeq lists it as uncharacterized. The record is from RefSeq and is a predicted model, not a curated record. The transcript is spliced from 3 exons. NCBI's taxonomy places the organism in Eukaryota, Metazoa, Chordata, Lepidosauria, Squamata, Cordylidae.
AAGAAAGCGGUCAAGAAUCAGUCCAUGUAAUUCGACCACGGAGCCCAACAAGCGUGCAAAGCAAGCUUCAAAGCAAAGCAAAAGUUGAAAAAUCCACAACAAACAGCAAGUGCCGCCUUUGUAAAGAAGCAGAUGAAACCAUGGACCACCUAAUCAGCUGUUGUCAAAGGAUCGCACAGACUGACUACAAACAAAGGCAUGACAAGAAACCAUGUGCAGAAAAAAUAAAACCAGAGGCUCAUUGGCUCAAGACAUAAUAUGAAUGCAUGUGGGACUUUGGCAUCAGAGAAAUCCUAGUGCUUGAUGUGCAAGAACAGCUUGUAACUAUCUUCCACCACCACUGUUUUGGUCAACCAGGAAGCAACUGAAUUCUGGGGAAAAAA